CUUAGCACCGAGUAAGCACUCA
Molecule: microRNA, 22 nt
Filed under: Echinops telfairi (small Madagascar hedgehog)
Lineage: Eukaryota; Metazoa; Chordata; Mammalia; Afrosoricida; Tenrecidae
Description: Ete-Mir-1271_5p (mature (guide))
Source: RNAcentral